Long non-coding RNA from Ctenopharyngodon idella (grass carp), 855 nucleotides. RefSeq lists it as uncharacterized. Lineage: Eukaryota; Metazoa; Chordata; Actinopteri; Cypriniformes; Xenocyprididae. The transcript has 6 exons. The record is from RefSeq and is a predicted model, not a curated record.
UUCCACUAUAACUAACCUCAUCAAGAGGCAGAAGAUUUCCUUACCUCAAACAACAGCCUGCCAAAUGCUUCUCCGCCGCUUUCAAUAUCCAUAUAAACAAAAAUAUGCUGUGAGAAAGAGAGAUGUUGCACAUCUUGGAGGUUGCUGGUGUAAUACUCCUCAGCCAGGGCCAUAUAAAGCGCCUGUGGUCGAUGGAAAGAAAACUUCCACUCUUUCUCUGCCCAGCUGGACAGUUUCCUCUCAUCACCGAGCAACCGACCGUUUGCGAAGGACAUUAGACAGCCGGUGUACUGCCAAACAUCUCCUCUCAGCUCCUUGAAAAUUGUUUCAACUGCCCCCAAGCUGUAUCAGACCUGAGGCUGUUUUGGUGGACUUUUCUAGGGCCAGAAACCUGUCCAGCUUUUGUGCAAAAUCUGGGGGCAGAUUGUGAGGGGAUCUGUACAUCUUCAUGGUCGUACCCAGCUAUUCAUAAAGAAGCCAAAAUAAGAAAAUCAAGACCACCUUUCAGAUGAAAGGCCAGGUAAGCAUGACUGUGCCUUAUGCUUAUGCGAACUUCAUCUAAAACUCGCUCCCAUACCCACCACUUGCUCUUGUGAGCAUCAAUGGGAGUCCAGUUGUGAUACUGCUGGUGGAAGUGUUGCCUAAGAGCUUCAACUUCACGUCUGAAGCAAGAGUUGCGAAUGUUUAGGACCUGGGGGCUGUCAUGCAUUGGGCCUCUCCUCAGCACUUCUGCUGUGUCCAGUUGCAGUUCAAUCGCUAGCAUAGGAAUAAUGCUGCAGGAUUCCAGUAAUUCAGCCUGAUGCUUGGUCACAGGGAAGCCGUCCAACACAAACCUGAGGAUCAGAUACAUGUAUA